This 479-nucleotide ribosomal RNA is filed under the name uncultured bacterium. Its description in RNAcentral is "partial 16S ribosomal RNA". It matches the Rfam family "Bacterial small subunit ribosomal RNA", at positions 28 to 507 of the family's 1533-position model. The record is from RNAcentral.
GAUGAACGCUAGCGGGAGGCCUAACACAUGCAAGCCGAGCGGUAUUUGUCCUUCGGGACAGAGAGAGCGGCGUACGGGUGCGGAACACGUGUGCAACCUGCCUUUAUCUGGGGGAUAGCCUUUCGAAAGGAAGAUUAAUACCCCAUAAUAUAUCGAAUGGCAUCAUUCGAUAUUGAAAACUCCGGUGGAUAGAGAUGGGCACGCGCAAGAUUAGAUAGUUGGUGAGGUAACGGCUCACCAAGUCAGUGAUCUUUAGGGGGCCUGAGAGGGUGAUCCCCCACACUGGUACUGAGACACGGACCAGACUCCUACGGGAGGCAGCAGUGAGGAAUAUUGGACAAUGGGUGAGGGCCUGAUCCAGCCAUCCCGCGUGAAGGACUAAGGCCCUAUGGGUUGUAAACUUCUUUUAUACUGGGAUAAACCUACUUACGUGUAAGUAGCUGAAGGUACAGUAUGAAUAAGCACCGGCUAACUCCGUG